GAGGGUACAGCUCAGGGAUAGAGUGUAUGCCUAGCAUGCACAAGGUCCUUGGUUCAAUCCCCAGUACCUCCA
Molecule: transfer RNA, 72 nt
Filed under: Camelus bactrianus (Bactrian camel)
Lineage: Eukaryota; Metazoa; Chordata; Mammalia; Artiodactyla; Camelidae
Also listed under: 2 other names
Rfam family: tRNA
About the family: Transfer RNA (tRNA) molecules are approximately 80 nucleotides in length. Their secondary structure includes four short double-helical elements and three loops (D, anti-codon, and T loops).
Source: Rfam by way of RNAcentral